This 980-nucleotide ribosomal RNA is filed under the name Alternaria kareliniae. Its description in RNAcentral is "eukaryotic LSU rRNA". It matches the Rfam family "Eukaryotic large subunit ribosomal RNA", at positions 82 to 1082 of the family's 3401-position model. Lineage: Eukaryota; Fungi; Ascomycota; Dothideomycetes; Pleosporales; Pleosporaceae. The record is from RNAcentral.
AGUAACGGCGAGUGAAGCGGCAACAGCUCAAAUUUGAAAUCUGGCUCUUUUAGAGUCCGAGUUGUAAUUUGCAGAGGGCGCUUUGGCUUUGGCAGCGGUCCAAGUUCCUUGGAACAGGACGUCACAGAGGGUGAGAAUCCCGUACGUGGUCGCUGGCUAUUGCCGUGUAAAGCCCCUUCGACGAGUCGAGUUGUUUGGGAAUGCAGCUCUAAAUGGGAGGUACAUUUCUUCUAAAGCUAAAUAUUGGCCAGAGACCGAUAGCGCACAAGUAGAGUGAUCGAAAGAUGAAAAGCACUUUGGAAAGAGAGUCAAACAGCACGUGAAAUUGUUAAAAGGGAAGCGCUUGCAGCCAGACUUGCUUGCAGUUGCUCAUCCGGGCUUUUGCCCGGUGCACUCUUCUGUAGGCAGGCCAGCAUCAGUUUGGGCGGUAGGAUAAAGGUCUCUGUCACGUACCUCCUCUCGGGGAGGCCUUAUAGGGGAGACGACAUACUACCAGCCUGGACUGAGGUCCGCGCAUCUGCUAGGAUGCUGGCGUAAUGGCUGUAAGCGGCCCGUCUUGAAACACGGACCAAGGAGUCUAACAUCUAUGCGAGUGUUUGGGUGUCAAGCCCGAGCGCGUAAUGAAAGUGAACGGAGGUGGGAACCCGCAAGGGUGCACCAUCGACCGAUCCUGAUGUCUUCGGAAGGAUUUGAGUAAGAGCAUGGCUGUUGGGACCCGAAAGAUGGUGAACUAUGCUUGAAUAGGGUGAAGCCAGAGGAAACUCUGGUGGAGGCUCGCAGCGGUUCUGACGUGCAAAUCGAUCGUCAAAUUUGGGCAUAGGGGCGAAAGACUAAUCGAACUAUCUAGUAGCUGGUUCCUGCCGAAGUUUCCCUCAGGAUAGCAGUAACGUAUUCAGUUUUAUGAGGUAAAGCGAAUGAUUAGAGGCCUGGGGGUUGAAACAACCUUCACCUAUUCUCAAACUUUAAAUAUGUAAGAAGUC